AAGUCGUAACAAGGUCUCCGUUGGUGAACCAGCGGAGGGAUCAUUGAUGGAAUAAACGCCUUCACAGGCGCUACCCAUAAACCCUUUGUGAAUACUACCUAAAAAACGUUGCCUCGGCAUUGGUUGGCCUCUUUGAGGUCCCUUCUCUAGGGAAGAAGCAGACCGGCCGGUGGCCCUAUAAACUCUUGUCUUUGUAAUAUCAUCUGAGUAAAACAACUAAAAUGAAUCAAAAC
RNAcentral lists this unclassified non-coding RNA (233 nucleotides) under plant metagenome. Its description in RNAcentral is "partial contains small subunit ribosomal RNA and internal transcribed spacer 1". The stretch from base 1 to 46 matches the Rfam family "Eukaryotic small subunit ribosomal RNA", at positions 1786 to 1831 of the family's 1831-position model. The record is from RNAcentral.